GGUUCAGUGGCUGAGUGGUUUAGGCAUCCGACCAGCAAUCUGGAGACCCAGGUUUGAUUCCUGGCUGAACCA
RNAcentral lists this transfer RNA (72 nucleotides) under Orbicella faveolata. Its description in RNAcentral is "tRNA-Ala". It matches the Rfam family "tRNA". Rfam says of the family: Transfer RNA (tRNA) molecules are approximately 80 nucleotides in length. Their secondary structure includes four short double-helical elements and three loops (D, anti-codon, and T loops). The record is from RNAcentral. Lineage: Eukaryota; Metazoa; Cnidaria; Anthozoa; Scleractinia; Merulinidae.